UAGUGAUAGCCGGUUGCUCAGGAAAAGAGUUUUAGCUCCACCUUAAGUUUUUCUAUUACACCUAAAAACCUCCAAACUUAAGAGCCAUUCAAAUAAGGCACAGCUUAUUUGAAACAGGACACAACCUCUAACACCGGGUAAAUAAGGUGACUCAAACAAAGUCGGCCUAAAAGCAGCCACCUUUAAAAAAGCGUUAAAGCUUAAUUAUUCUACCCUCAAUUUCUUAAUUCCCACCAACCCUUUACCACUACUGAGCUAUUUUAUAUCUUAUAAAAGCUAUUAUGCUAGAACUAGUAACAAGAAAUAGCCCUUCUCCAAAAUGUAAGCUUACACCAAAAUGGACCAUCCAUUGGUAAUUAACGCUAAUGUUAUAGUCACAACAACACACCUCUAGAAAACCCUGUGACCUCCCACGUUACCCUUACACCAGAACAUUUCAGGAAAGAUUAAAAGAGAAAGAAGGAACUCGGCAAAUCUCAGCCCCGCCUGUUUACCAAAAACAUCGCCUCUUGAUUAAGUAUAAGAGGUCCAGCCUGCCCAGUGAUAAAAUUCAACGGCCGCGGUACCCUAACCGUGCGAAGGUAGCAUAAUCACUUGUUCUCUAAAUAGGGACUAGUAUCAACGGCACCACGAGGGCUGUACUGUCUCCUUUCUCCAAUCAGUGAAACUGAUCUCCCCGUGAAGAAGCGGGGAUUAUUAUAUAAGACGAGAAGACCCCAUGGAGCUUUAAACUCAUCAUUCACUUCCUCACUCCUCCGACCUAUAUAAGGAAUCUGUGUGAUAGUUUUGGGUUGGGGUGACCACGGAGUACAAUUUAACCUCCAUGACAAAUGGGCUAACGCCCUUAUCUAUGAACUACAACUCUAAGAAUCAUAAGCUGAUGUUUAAUGACCCGAUAUUCGAUCAACGAACCAAGUUACCCUGGGGAUAACAGCGCAAUCUACUUCAAGAGCCCCUAUCGACAAGUAGGUUUACGACCUCGAUGUUGGAUCAGGGUAUCCUGGGGGUGCAGCCGCUCCUAAUGGUUCGUUUGUUCAACGAUUAAAACCCU
This 1051-nucleotide ribosomal RNA is filed under the name Nidirana lini. RNAcentral's name for it is "partial 16S ribosomal RNA". It matches the Rfam family "Bacterial large subunit ribosomal RNA", at positions 840 to 2597 of the family's 2925-position model. Lineage: Eukaryota; Metazoa; Chordata; Amphibia; Anura; Ranidae. The record is from RNAcentral.